UACAGAGGUCCCAAGCGUUGUUCGGAUUCACUGGGCGUAAAGGGUGCGUAGGCGGUCGGGUAAGUCUGAUGUGAAAUCUCACAGCUUAACUGUGAAACUGCAUUGGAUACUAUCCGGCUCGAGGAAUGGAGGGGAGACUGGAAUACUUGGUGUAGCAGUGAAAUGCGUAGAUAUCAAGUGGAACACCAGUGGCGAAGGCGAGUCUCUGGACAUUUCCUGACGCUGAGAAGCGAAAGCGUGGGGAGCGAACAGG
Molecule: ribosomal RNA, 253 nt
Filed under: uncultured bacterium
Lineage: Bacteria
Description: partial 16S ribosomal RNA
Rfam family: Bacterial small subunit ribosomal RNA
Source: RNAcentral